GGGUCGGUGUCCGAGUGGCCAAUGGAGUCGGACUGUAAAUCCGAUGCAAAACGCUUCAGUGGUUCAAAUCCACUCCGGCCCACCA
Molecule: transfer RNA, 85 nt
Filed under: bacterium
Lineage: Bacteria
Description: tRNA-Tyr
Rfam family: tRNA
About the family: Transfer RNA (tRNA) molecules are approximately 80 nucleotides in length. Their secondary structure includes four short double-helical elements and three loops (D, anti-codon, and T loops). Further hydrogen bonds mediate the characteristic L-shaped molecular structure. tRNAs have two regions of fundamental functional importance: the anti-codon, which is responsible for specific mRNA codon recognition, and the 3' end, to which the tRNAs corresponding amino acid is attached (by aminoacyl-tRNA synthetases). tRNAs cope with the degeneracy of the genetic code in two manners: having more than one tRNA (with a specific anti-codon) for a particular amino acid; and 'wobble' base-pairing, i.e. permitting non-standard base-pairing at the 3rd anti-codon position.
Source: RNAcentral